AAAUGGUCUUUUCUUUCUUAUUUUGCCUCUUAAAAAAAAAUUGAUCUAAGAAAUUAUGCAAGAUUGAAGGAACAGGGAAAAGAUGCAGUCUACAUGAGGUUCUGUUGUUGCCAGAGGCGUGUUUAGCGUGGAAAAUGUGCCCUUCUGAGUAGCAGACUGGUGGCAGAGCUGUCCUGCUCCAUGUGGUCAUGUCCCUGAGCCCCCUGCCUCCCAACGACAUCCUUCUGCUAGCAGCCGCAGGGUGGGCAUCUCCCAGACCCUGGCACAUCCAUGGCUGUGGACACCGUGGACAUAGAAGAUGCCGCCUCUCUCUCUCUCUCUCUCUCUCAACAUCUCCAUGAGGGUUUCCUCAGUGAGGUCCAGAAAUGGAUGGAUGCGAAUGACCCAGAUGCCAUCUCCUCACCAAAGUUUCUCCUCCCUCCCAGAACGAUGCAGAGAAUAAACCGUGGGAGAGGCUUCCUGUCGGUGGGUUUAUAAGACGUAAAGAUUCUAGUGCGAGGUGGCAACAAAGGGAACAUGGUUUGCGUUGGGAAGAGCGAGACUGACCAUUACUGAAUGUAAUAAAUGAGCGUCCUUGAACAGGGGGACAUCCAAGAGGCCAUUAGAGGAAUUGACCGGUGCACGAGGCCAAGUGGUAGCUCUUGUUGGCCCAUCUGUGGUAUUUAAUGAACCCUGUCCUGAGAAGACCGGGGAAGAGGGAGCCAGGCAGGAGAGACGGUGCCAGAUGGGCCAGGAGGCGUCCUCGCCUUCAUCCUGUGGUUCUGGGACCAGCCCCGAGACUGCUCGUCUCCCACUUUAUGCGAAGACGUGACCGUGUUAGGCAGCGGGGGAAAUGGCCAGACUCGAGGAAAAUUCAACAGCUGCCCCAUUUCCAGGGCUUGCUCCCCAGGGUCCCGGAUCAGUUCCUGGGUUUUCAACUGUUCUGGUUUAGUUUACUUUGCUAAGGUCCCUCAUAAGAAGGGAAGUACAUCAAGACGUGUCGAAAAAGCAGCAAAUCUGUGAAGCAAAGCUUUUGGAUGAUCAGGAAAAAUAGCAUUCAG
RNAcentral lists this long non-coding RNA (1040 nucleotides) under Equus caballus (horse). RNAcentral describes it as "lncRNA (ENSECAG00000040130.3)". The record is from RNAcentral. Lineage: Eukaryota; Metazoa; Chordata; Mammalia; Perissodactyla; Equidae.